ACAUGCCUACAACAUAGUGUUAAUGCACCAGAUCUCAUUAGAACUUUGUAGUUAAGCGUGUCCAGGCUAGAGCAGUACUAGAAUGGGUGACCAAUCGGGAAGUUCUAGUCUUUUACAUGCC
Picea glauca (white spruce) is the source of this 121-nucleotide non-coding RNA. NCBI's taxonomy places the organism in Eukaryota, Viridiplantae, Streptophyta, Pinopsida, Pinales, Pinaceae. The record is from Rfam.